Molecule: ribosomal RNA, 468 nt
Filed under: uncultured bacterium
Lineage: Bacteria
Description: bacterial SSU rRNA
Rfam family: Bacterial small subunit ribosomal RNA
Source: RNAcentral
CAUGCAAGUCGAGCGGGGAAGGGUAGCUUGCUACCUAACCUAGCGGCGGACGGGUGAGUAAUGCUUAGGAAUCUGCCAUUUAGUGGGGGACAACAUUCCGAAAGGAAUGCUAAUACCGCAUACGUCCUACGGGAGAAAGCAGGGGAUCUUCGGACCUUGCGCUAAAUGAUGAGCCUAAGUCGGAUUAGCUAGUUGGUGGGGUAAAGGCCUACCAAGGCGACGAUCUGUAGCGGGUCUGAGAGGAUGAUCCGCCACACUGGGACUGAGACACGGCCCAGACUCCUACGGGAGGCAGCAGUGGGGAAUAUUGGACAAUGGGCGAAAGCCUGAUCCAGCCAUGCCGCGUGUGUGAAGAAGGCCUUUUGGUUGUAAAGCACUUUAAGCGAGGAGGAGGCUACCUAGAUUAAUACUCUAGGAUAGUGGACGUUACUCGCAGAAUAAGCACCGGCUAACUCUGUGCCAGCAGCC